This 243-nucleotide ribosomal RNA is filed under the name uncultured Cellulomonas sp. RNAcentral describes it as "partial 16S ribosomal RNA". It matches the Rfam family "Bacterial small subunit ribosomal RNA", at positions 1139 to 1382 of the family's 1533-position model. Lineage: Bacteria; Bacillati; Actinomycetota; Actinomycetes; Micrococcales; Cellulomonadaceae. The record is from RNAcentral.
CUUAAUGAGACUGCCGGUGACAAACCGGAGGAAGUGGGGAUGACGGUCAAAUCAUCAUGCCCUUAUGUCUUGGGCUUCACGCAUGCUACAAUGGCCGGUACAAAGGCUGCGAUACCGCGAGGUGGAGCGAAUCCCAGAAAGCCGGUCUCAGUUCGGAUUGGGGUCUGCAACUCGACCCCAUGAAGUCGGAGUCGCUAGUAAUCGCAGAUCAGCAACGCUGCGGUGAAUACGUUCCCGGGCCUU